AUAUCUCUCCGUACGGGAAGGAUGAGAAGCUUCGACUAAGGUUCGAUUCGAGCGUCAGCGAGAAAGCGUUGCCGCAGGCAACGACCCGAAGGGCGAAGCGCGCAGCGCUGAGU
This 113-nucleotide small RNA is filed under the name Salmonella enterica subsp. enterica serovar Thompson. Its description in RNAcentral is "partial RtT sRNA". It matches the Rfam family "RtT RNA", at positions 1 to 111 of the family's 130-position model. From Rfam's summary of the family: This family represents a bacterial cis-regulatory element known as RtT RNA. The exact function of RtT is unknown although it is thought that it may be involved in changing the cellular response in relation to amino acid starvation. RNAcentral also lists the same sequence under 2 other names. Lineage: Bacteria; Pseudomonadati; Pseudomonadota; Gammaproteobacteria; Enterobacterales; Enterobacteriaceae. The record is from RNAcentral.